Molecule: long non-coding RNA, 4551 nt
Filed under: Sus scrofa (pig)
Lineage: Eukaryota; Metazoa; Chordata; Mammalia; Artiodactyla; Suidae
Description: lncRNA (ENSSSCG00030072967.1)
Source: RNAcentral
UGCACCUGUGGCAUAUAGAAGUUCUCAGGACAGGAGCUGAAUCAGAGCUACAGCCCCUGGCCUAGACCACAGCCACACAGCAACACCAAAUCCGAGUCUGCAACCUACACCAUAGCUCGUGGCAAUGCCAAUCCUUAAUUCACAGAGCAAGGUGAGGAAUCGAACCCUCAUCCUCAUGGAUACUAGUUGGGUUCAUUUCCGCUGAGCCACAACAGGAACUCCAGUCCUUCUCUGUCCUUGAAAUCCAGUGUGGCCUGGAAUUCCUGACACCAUCGCCUUCUUCCAGCUUCUCCUGGAUUGUCCUCUAAUUCUGCCCUUCAAUUUCCACACCUCCUUUUGAACUUGGUUUAUGACAGCCAGUUCUGCUGUUUUUUUUCCAUUUGUGUUCGCUUUAUUUUUGCUCCCAGUUCAAUGUCCAGAAGCAGGUUCCCCACUGCAAUCAAAUCGAAGAACAACAUACAACAUUGUACACUUCUAAGAUGCUUAAACUGCUUUUCAAUACUUUCCUUAAAGUAAUAAAAUUUUUUAACUUAUUGUUGACCCUGCCAGGAACAUUGAUAGAAAAGCUUAGAAGGCCACCAUAAAUCAGGCCCAAAUUAAGAGUUUGAAAGAGCUGGGGAGUUUUCUCCACAAACUUUCAUGUGACUACACUAUGCCCCUUGCAUUUUAUGGCAUAUCCAUUUUUAUAAGUCUGUUUAUGAGUACAAAGAGGCUUAGCCACUACCUCCCGUGGCAUGCCAGCUUAGACCAACUGCUAUUUUAACCACAUUCCCCUCUAGAAAGAGCACAGCCAACAGUUUCAAAUUCCCAAGGGAACCAAAAUGUUGAGAAAACUGAAUGACACAUCAUUUGGAAAUUCGUUAUUAUUUUUGCCACUAUCAACUUGGGGUGUUUUUUUUUUGUCCAGAGUGAUCUCUUAAGGCCCAAAGUCCAUAUUUCCACCCAGCACUCAAGACUGACCAGUCCCAGGAGCAGAAGACGGUCUUAGCAAAGAGCCAGUGGACACCAGGAACCAGCACACCCUAACACAAGGAAAGUCUCAGGGCCCAGCCAACAUUCUCCAUUAAGCAAAGAGCAUCACUUUGUCUUAAACAUAGACGAUGAAAUUGACGAGGGUCUGCCAUGUCUGGGCCAAAAACAGUCCAAGGAUUUGGCAACUGUAAGCAAACAAAGUCUGACCUACAGGUCCCUUUCGGAGGAGGGAAAAGAACUCAAUCUAAAUGAAAAGUUACACUCUCGAAUCAAGAGAAAUCAAGUGGUUACUUUCUGCCAACCUGUUUCUGACUGCUUUAGUCUGGGAUAUGUGCUUCCUUGAGCCAUCCCAGGGCUACCCAUUUCCUAGUCUGUCCAUUCAUUCAGGGCCACUCUUAACCCAGACUAGACUGCAUUUCCUAGAUGAGUCCAGAGCACCCCUGUUCACUUGAUAUUUGCCUCAGCCUAGCACUGCUUUUCCCUCCAACUUCAACACCACCCCACCCUGGUCAUCCAGCAAUGAUCCACUCCAGAGGCCCUGAUUUAGGUCAAGACUUGAUGACACCCAGGGGAAAAAAAAAAACCUUACAAACCCAUCCCCUGCAGAGGCUGCUUCUUUACAAUGUCAGGAACUGUUACAGCUCUGAGAUUUUACCAAGUUUUGCAGGCUGAUGAGCCAAUCUGUCAUGGUUCCUUGGAUAAUGGCAGGAGACACAAGCCUCCUAAGUCAAAGACCAAGGAUUUUAUUACUCAUGGCAUAGUCAGCACCUUGAGCUUCUGCUUAGGAAACACUAGAGUUCCACAGAACAUAGAAAAACUCUGGGCCACAAUCCAGGCUAGACGUGGGACAAGAACAUCUAGUUGGGAGGUAGUUUUGCAAAGGACCUUGCACUGUAUGCUGCUAUUUGGACUUUAUUAUGUAAGCAGUGGGAAAAUACCCUGUUGACGUUCUUUUUAUCUACUUAAUAUGAUUAGAUGUGGUUAUUUUAGAAACAUAUUAAAAGGUCUUAGGAACCUUCAAUUUUGUAAUAGAUUCCUCCAUAGAAGAAGAAAUCUAUAGAACAGAAUUACCUCUGUAAAUACCCAAGUUCAAAACUUAAUAGCAUUCACACUUUUUUCCUCUCUUUUUUCUUUUUAGGGCUGCACCAUGGCAUAUAGUUCUUAGGCUAGGAGUCAAAUUGAAGCUACAGCUGCUGGCCCAUGCCACAGCCACAGCCACAUGGGAUCUGAGCGUGUCUGCAACCUACACAACUCUUAGCAACGCUGGAUCCCUGACCCACUGAGGGAGUCCAGGGAUUGAACCUGCAUCCUCACGGAUACUAGUCAGAUUCCUUUCCACUGUGCCACAGUGGGAUUCAGCUUACAACGUUGUUUUUAUUUCUGCAGUACAGUAAAGUGAUUCUGUUAUACAUAUAUGUAUAUAUAUAUUCUUUUAUGGUGAUCUCAGAAUAUUGAAAUAUUGAAUAUAGAAUAUUGAAAUACUGAAUUUGAACAGAGGAGUGCAUGUAUCUUUUCAAAUAACAUUCACUUUUAAGAAAGGCUUCUGGUGGAGUUUCCAUCGUGGCACAGCAGAAACAAAUCCAACUAAGAACCAUGAGGUUGCGGGUUCAAUCCCUGUCCUUGCUCAGCAGGUUAAGGAUCUGGCAUUGUCGUGAGCUGUGGUGUAGGUCACAGAUGCGGCUUGGAUCUGGCAUUGCUGUGGCUGUGGUGUAGGCUGGCAGCUGUAGCUCCAAUUACACCCCUAGCCUGGGAACCUCCAUAUGCCAUGUGUGGAGCCCUUAGAAAAAAAAAAAAAAAAGGCUUCUGUAUGUUCAAGAAUUCCUAUUUAAUAGUUUAAUUUACUUUUUCUGUUCUGUGUUCAUUGUACAUCCUCUUCUCUGAAUUCCAAUUCUAGAACUCAAACUUGCAACAGAGAUCAACCGAGAUACCAGCAGCAGAUCCAUUCAUGGAUUGUACCAGUCUGAAGCAAAUCACUCUCCAAGUUUCUAUCGUUGAGGCUUUUCCAACAUUUGAUCAUAGUCAGGACUAUCUUGGAUACUACAAUCAAGUUUUCUCUGUCAUUCAAGGACUGUUGAAUGAGCACUAUCUGAUCCAGGGCAUUGUAAUAAGUGCUGAAGACAUAAAAGGAGGAUUUGGACAUACUCCCCUUGAGACUUGUGUACACUUUUGAGUAUUUUGCUUUACGAUCAAAAUCAACAAUUUCUUUCAAGCUAUGAUUGAUUUGCACAGCCAAUUAGGGCCGAGUAUAUAGACAACAACACAGGCCAACAGUCAGUCCAUAUUUAUUGAGCUUUUACUAUAUGCCAAACAUCAUGCUAGGUGCUGGGGAUGUAGCAAUGAGCAAGAGAGGCCUAGAUAUAUCUUUGAUGCAUGAUACAUUUGUCUGUAUUUUCAGCAAGGCAUGCAUAGAGGAGAAAAUCAAGACCAUAAAAGGAAGAGCCAGUGAUUUAAAGAGAAAAGGAGCAUGAAAAACUUUUAUGUAGGAAAGAAUAUGAUUUAAAGACAGGCUGAAAGUAUCCCCAAAGAAAACAAUACAUCGGAGUUUCCAUCGUGGCACAGCGGAAAGGAAUCUGACCAAGAACCAUGAGGUUGCAGGUUCGAUCUCUGGCCUCACUCAGUGGGUUAAGGAUCUGGCAUUGCCGUGAGCUGUGGUAUAGGUCACAGACGUGGCUUGGAUCUGGCAUGUCUAUGGCUGUGGCGUAGGCUGGUAGCUAUAGCUCUGAUUAGACCCCUAGCCCGGGAAUCUCCAUAUGCCACGGGUGUGGCCCUAAAAAGACAAAAGACAAAAAAAAAAAAAGAAAGAAGAAAAACAAUACAAGUAUCCCCUGCUUUUCAAAAUUUCCCUUUAUGUAUACUUAGCUUUUAUGAAAGAUUAACAUCAGUAGCUAUUUUUUGAUAACCAAAAGAGAUGGGAAGAGGAUUUUCACUUAGGUGAAAAAAGGCAAAAAGCAAAAGUAGCAUUCAAGGUUGGUUUUGCAGUGACCCAAUUAUAGAGGCAGCACACACCCUGAGCAAUGAGGGUGGCACCAUCAAGUUCCUCCCCUAGAAACUACCUUCAGCAUCUCAGCCUCAAGCCACCAGGGCUUUGAACUGUGUCUGUGAGCAUCAGUGCGUUAUCUUGAUUUUAUUUUGUGCUUUGUGUCCUAAGGUCAUCACUUUUUUGCUCUACUCCAUUUUGGCUUAGGAAGCUCUCCUUUCAAAAGUGCAAAGAAUCUAUGCAGGUUAACAGAUAAGUGACAUUUCCUCUCCAUUCACUAAAAAAAAAUAUGUUUCAUGUCUGCUGCAUGCCAAAUACUAUACUAGUGGAGACAAAAGAAUACAAUACAAGAAUUCCAUUGUUGCACAGAGAAAAUGAAUCUGACUAGUAUCCAUGUGGAUGCAGGUUCGAUCCCUGGCCUUGCACAGUGGGUUAAGGAUCCGGCCUUGCUGUGAGCUGCAAUGUAGGUCACAGACGUGGCUUGGAUCUUGCAUUCCUAUGGCUGUGGUGUAGGCCAGCAGCUACAACUCUGAUUCGACCCCUAGCUUGGGAACCUCCAUACGCCUCAGGUGCAGCCCUAAAAAGCAAAAAAAAAAAAAAAA